Molecule: transfer RNA, 61 nt
Filed under: Corythucha ciliata (sycamore lace bug)
Lineage: Eukaryota; Metazoa; Arthropoda; Insecta; Hemiptera; Tingidae
Description: tRNA-Ala
Source: RNAcentral
UGAGAUUAUAGUUAAUUAUAACACUUAAUUUGCAAUUAAAAAUUACCUUGAGGUAUCUCAA